This 471-nucleotide long non-coding RNA is filed under the name Papio anubis (olive baboon). Its description in RNAcentral is "lncRNA (ENSPANG00000049654.1)". The record is from RNAcentral. Lineage: Eukaryota; Metazoa; Chordata; Mammalia; Primates; Cercopithecidae.
AUGCGCCGGGAGCUGGGCGCGCACGGGCUGGAGCGCCGGGCGAGGCCCCCGGAAUCGGCCCAGGCGGCGGCAGGAGCAGAGGAGCCCAGGUGGGGCGCGGCGCUCUCCCCGCGCAGGAUUGUGGUAACUGUGACUUAUGAUAAGAAAUACACUGUAUUUGGUCUUGUCCCUGUUUUCUGGCAUACAGCUCCUAUCUGCCUUGGAAUCUCCAAAAUGUGCCUGGUUCUGGAUCCUGGUAGCACCUUCAUCUGUGCUUGUGGCCAAGAAUGGGCAUUGCUGCUACAGUCAUGGCCCUGCCCUGCACACAUGGAUCUACCUUCUCUUCUUUGUGGCCUACCUUCCUGGCUCGGGGAGGCCGCUUCGGCUUGGAUUCCAGGUGGAAAAUGGAUGCUCCCCUUGAAGACUGCUUUUCUGUGUAGCAGAGAGCACAUUAUUUAUACUAACAGUAAAUCCAUGGAUUCUGUCUUCUAA